Homo sapiens (human) is the source of this 1348-nucleotide long non-coding RNA. Ensembl annotates it as Pvt1 oncogene. Its record names the gene PVT1. The record is from Ensembl. Lineage: Eukaryota; Metazoa; Chordata; Mammalia; Primates; Hominidae.
GCACAUGGGCCCGCGGGCCGGGCGGGCUCGGGGCGGCCGGGACGAGGAGGGGCGACGACGAGCUGCGAGCAAAGAUGUGCCCCGGGACCCCCGGCACCUUCCAGUGGAUUUCCUUGCGGAAAGGAUGUUGGCGGUCCCUGUGACCUGUGGAGACACGGCCAGAUCUGCCCUCCAGAUUUAUUAGGAGAAAAACCUUCCCGGAAGCUGCAGAAGGACAAAUACAGAAUCCGUGUCUGGGAGAAACCUCGUGGCCUGGUCUCCAUUAUUUGAGAUGAGUUACAUCUUGGAGGCCUGAUCUUUUGGCCAGAAGGAGAUUAAAAAGAUGCCCCUCAAGAUGGCUGUGCCUGUCAGCUGCAUGGAGCUUCGUUCAAGUAUUUUCUGAGCCUGAUGGAUUUACAGUGAUCUUCAGUGGUCUGGGGAAUAACGCUGGUGGAACCAUGCACUGGAAUGACACACGCCCGGCACAUUUCAGGAUACUAAAAGUGGUUUUAAGGGAGGCUGUGGCUGAAUGCCUCAUGGAUUCUUACAGCUUGGAUGUCCAUGGGGGACGAAGGACUGCAGCUGGCUGAGAGGGUUGAGAUCUCUGUUUACUUAGAUCUCUGCCAACUUCCUUUGGGUCUCCCUAUGGAAUGUAAGACCCCGACUCUUCCUGGUGAAGCAUCUGAUGCACGUUCCAUCCGGCGCUCAGCUGGGCUUGAGCUGACCAUACUCCCUGGAGCCUUCUCCCGAGGUGCGCGGGUGACCUUGGCACAUACAGCCAUCAUGAUGGUACUUUAAGUGGAGGCUGAAUCAUCUCCCCUUUGAGCUGCUUGGCACGUGGCUCCCUUGGUGUUCCCCUUUUACUGCCAGGACACUGAGAUUUGGAGAGAAUCCUGUUACACCUGGGAUUUAGGCACUUUCAAUCUGAAAAAAUACAUAUCCUUUCAGCACUCUGGACGGACUUGAGAACUGUCCUUACGUGACCUAAAGCUGGAGUAUUUUGAGAUUGGAGAAUUAAGGCCUUCAGUGGGUUGAAUGAGGCCCAACCCACAUUGAAGAGGACCAUCUGCUUUACUCAGUCUCCUGGUUGAAGUGAUAAUCUCAUCUGGACAUACUCAGAAAUGCUGUUUAACCAGCUCUCUGGAAAUCCUGUGGCCCAGUCAAGUUGACACACAAAAUUAACCAUCACACUGCAGAGACACAGUCUAUCCCAAUACCUGUAUUUACUGGGUAACGUGCAUCUCAGCUCACCAGGCUGGUUUGAUUGACUUGGCCCAAAGCUGCCCUUUGAGUGUUGAGCCCCAGCUGACCCCUUUGAUCCUUCACAGCCCCAUCAUUAAAACAAGGACCCUGAAUCAAGUGACUGUAA